AGUCUGCAACUCGACUACAUGAAGCUGGAAUCGCUAGUAAUCGCAAAUCAGAAUGUUGCGGUGAAUACGUUCCCGGGUCUUGUACACACCGCCCGUCACACCAUGGGAGUCGGAAAUGCCCGAAGUCUGUGACCCAACGAAAGAGGGAGCAGCCGAAGGCAGGUCUGAUAACUGGGGUGAAGUCGUAACAAGGUAAC
Molecule: ribosomal RNA, 197 nt
Filed under: uncultured bacterium
Lineage: Bacteria
Description: partial 16S ribosomal RNA
Rfam family: Bacterial small subunit ribosomal RNA
Source: RNAcentral